This 23-nucleotide microRNA is filed under the name Fasciola hepatica (liver fluke). RNAcentral describes it as "fhe-let-7". Its record names the gene fhe-let-7. Lineage: Eukaryota; Metazoa; Platyhelminthes; Trematoda; Plagiorchiida; Fasciolidae. The record is from miRBase by way of RNAcentral.
GAGAGGUAGUGACUCAUAUGACU